UCCCCCAGUAGCGGCGAGCGAACGGGGAGCAGCCCAGAGCCUGAAUCAGUGUGUGUGUUAGUGGAAGCGUCUGGAAAGGCGCGCGAUACAGGGUGACAGCCCCGUACACAAAAAUGCACAUAUUGUGAGCUCGAUGAGUAGGGCGGGACACGUGGUAUCCUGUCUGAAUAUGGGGGGACCAUCCUCCAAGGCUAAAUACUCCUGACUGACCGAUAGUGAACCAGUACCGUGAGGGAAAGGCGAAAAGAACCCCGGCGAGGGGAGUGAAAAAGAACCUGAAACCGUGUACGUACAAGCAGUGGGAGCACGCUUAGGCGUGUGACUGC
Molecule: ribosomal RNA, 326 nt
Filed under: Shigella sonnei
Lineage: Bacteria; Pseudomonadati; Pseudomonadota; Gammaproteobacteria; Enterobacterales; Enterobacteriaceae
Description: bacterial LSU rRNA
Rfam family: Bacterial large subunit ribosomal RNA
Source: RNAcentral